RNAcentral lists this unclassified non-coding RNA (216 nucleotides) under soil metagenome. Its description in RNAcentral is "partial contains 5.8S ribosomal RNA, internal transcribed spacer 2, and large subunit ribosomal RNA". The record is from RNAcentral.
AACUGAUACUACCUGCGGGAACCUGCGGAGGGAUCAUUACAAGUGACCCCGGUCUAACCACCGGGAUGUUCAUAACCCUUUGUUGUCCGACUCUGUUGCCUCCGGGGCGACCCUGCCUUCGGGCGGGGGCUCCGGGUGGACACUUCAAACUCUUGCGUAACUUUGCAGUCUGAGUAAACUUAAUUAAUAAAUUAAAACUUUUAACAAUGGAUCUCU